Molecule: ribosomal RNA, 48 nt
Filed under: Lactifluus aff. glaucescens EDC-2013
Lineage: Eukaryota; Fungi; Basidiomycota; Agaricomycetes; Russulales; Russulaceae
Description: partial 28S ribosomal RNA
Source: RNAcentral
UUGACCUCAAAUCGGGUGAKACUACCCGCUGAACUUAAGCAUAUCAAU